This 337-nucleotide ribosomal RNA is filed under the name uncultured bacterium. RNAcentral's name for it is "bacterial SSU rRNA". It matches the Rfam family "Bacterial small subunit ribosomal RNA", at positions 72 to 423 of the family's 1533-position model. The record is from RNAcentral.
AAGUGGAGCAAUCCAUGAGUAAAGUGGCGACCGGGUGAGUAACACGUGACUAACCUACCUUCGAGUGGGGGAUAACCUCGGGAAACCGAGGCUAAUACCGCAUAAUAUCGCAAGAUCAAAGCAGCAAUGCGCUGGAAGAGGGGGUCGCGGCUGAUUAGCUAGUUGGCGGGGUAACGGCCUACCAAGGCGACGAUGGGUAGCUGGUCUGAGAGGACGAUCAGCCACACUGGGACUGAGACACGGCCCAGACUCCUACGGGAGGCAGCAGUGGGGAAUCUUGCGCAAUGGGCGAAAGCCUGACGCAGCAACGCCGCGUGAGGGACGAAGGCCUUCUGGG